This 672-nucleotide ribosomal RNA is filed under the name uncultured archaeon. Its description in RNAcentral is "bacterial SSU rRNA". It matches the Rfam family "Archaeal small subunit ribosomal RNA", at positions 99 to 754 of the family's 1478-position model. The record is from RNAcentral.
CGUGGUUAACCUGCCCUUGGGACGGAAACACCCCCGGGAAACUGGGGCUAAUUUCCGAUAGGUGAAGGCUCCUGGAAUGGAUCUUCGCCUAAAGGGCGCUUAGGCCAUGCUUCUAAGCGCUGCCCAAGGAUGGGACCGCGGCCGAUCAGGUUGUUGGUGAGGUAAUGGCUCACCAAGCCUUUAACCGGUUCGGGCCGUGGGAGCGGGAGCCCGGAGAUGGGCACUGAGACAAGGGCCCAGGUCCUACGGGGCGCAGCAGUCGCGAAAACUCCGCAAUACGCGAAGGCGUGACGGGGCUAUCCCGAGUGCCGUCCGCUGAGGAUGGCUUUUCUCCAGUGUAGAUAGCUGGGGGAAUAAGGAGAGGGCAAGUCUGGUGUCAGCCGCCGCGGUAAUACCAGCUCUCCGAGUGGUGGGGACGUUUAUUGGGCCUAAAGCAUCCGUAGCCAGCUGAGCAAGUCUCCAGUUAAAUCCAGCGAUUUAAUCGUUGGACUGCUGGGGAUACUGUCCGGCUAGGGGGUGGGAGAGGCCGACGGUAUUCCCGGGGUAGGGGUGAAAUCCUAUAAUCCCGGGAGGACCACCAGUGGCGAAGGCUGUUGGCUAAAACAUGCCCGACGGUGAGGGAUGAAAGCUGGGGGAGCGAACCGGAUUAGAUACCCGGGUAGUCCCAGCUGU